UUUUUUUUUUUUUUUUUUUUUUUUUUUUUUGGUCUUUUUAGGGCCACAACCAUGGCAUAUGGAAGUUCUGCCAGGGGCUGAAUCGAACAGUAGCCACUGGCCUAUGCCACAGCCACAGCAAUGUGGGGUCCGAGCCAAGUCUGCAACCUACACCACAGCUCACAGCAAUGGCAGAUCCUUAACGCACUGAGCAAGGCAAGGGAUCGAACUCACUUCCUCAUGGAUACUAGUACAGUUCAUUAUUUCUGAGCCAUGAUGGGAACUCCAUGUAAGAAGCUGAAAUUAAUCACUGAAUUCAUAAGGUUAAUGAUAAGGUUAGAAUCAUCUAAACAAAUGGAUUAGUCUUUGAUCUGAAUAGAGAAGCUUAAAGUAGCUAAGUUAAUCUUUUCUAAAAAGGAAAGACAGCAAAAAUUUUUAAAUACUGGAAAUGAUUCUGGAAAUCACUGCAACUAAUUUCCUGUAGUUAAUGUUUGUGUUUUUUCAUCCCACAGCUGUUAACCAUUUUUGGUUAUAAGUUUGCAAAAACAAAUCACAAAUAAAAAUCAUAAGCAACCAAAACUGCAUUAAAGUUUUUUGCUACAAUCCCAUUUUAUGGUACAUACAUAAUAUUAUCCACUUGAAAUCUAUUAAAGUUUGGAAACAAAUGAAUUCCUACAACUUACUGGGUUUAUUAAGGACUAUAGGGCGGAAAAAAAAAUCUCAGUGACCAACUGUCUGUAUUUCCUCCCAAAUACUUCAAUAAAAAGGAUAGGUGAACUCAUGAGACAAAUAUAAUACAUUGAGAAAAUCGGUUGAAGUCACAAAAACUAAAGCUUCUUUAAAAGAAAACCCAGUUUCUCUUUAACACUGAAUUACUUUUCUUUCCUUCAUAACACCAUCUUUUGGUAAAAGAACUGUCUUACCUUGGCCUUAAUUACUUCUCUUACAUGGUCUUUAACUUACUGCAACUGACUUAAUUCUCUUGAAUUUGUUUUCCUCAAAUUGUACUGUAUAAAUAAUACCAAACAGGAAUAGAUGGCGUGUAAAAAACAUUUUCAGAUAUUCUUCUAAAUGCUUUACUUGCAUUUAUUUAUUUAAUCCUAACAAGAGCCCUAGGAGGCAAUUACCUUUAUUUAUACCUGUUCUUUGGAGUGUGGAAAUUGGAAAACAAAGAUUCAGUAUUUUGUGGCAGACCUAGGAUCUGAUCCCAGUAGUCUAGUUCCAUGCGCUUAACCACAGUGACCCACUAAUUUUUCAAUCAGUGAUCAUCCUUAUAAAACAGUGUACAGGAGUUCCCGUCGUGGCGCAUUUUGAGUAAAUUUUUACAUGUGAUCCAGUUGUCUUAGCAUCAUUUUUUCAAAGCAGAUCAAGAUAUAAAAGAUCUCUGUCACUCCACUGCCCCUUCCCAGUUCAUACUCCCACUUUGUCCAGCAAACAUCUGUUUAUUCACUCACUCCACCAAGACGACAUACUUAUCCCAGAACCUCACCACCAGUAGUAUAACUCUUUCCCAAAAAGUUUCUCAGUAACUGUUAACCUGAAUAAAUAUAAUAGGAAUUCUGCUUUUUGGACCCACAUAUCCUACUCCCUGUCCCUUAACGAGAAAUAAUACAUUCCCAUUAAUUUAGCGAAGGGAAAUGCUGCUUAUAACUCUUUCCUAGGUCUAAAAUGCUAUUGCUUUGGACUCAGUCCCAGUCAGUGCCAAAAAAAACACCAAAAAUUAAAAAACAAAAUAAACCCACAAAAAACAAAUCAGCAACAAAAAAUAACAAACCACCAAAUGGAUUACAUAGACAACUUCUUUUUAACUAUAUAUAUUAUCUUGGCACUUUACUCUGUAAGGGUAGAGAGUACUGGCUGCUCCAUGGACCGCUGAAUGCUCCCUUACCUUCUCUGCCACAUGUGGCUGAUAGUGUGCUGGUCUAUUAAAAUUCUUCUCCUAUAUCACCUUAUUUGAUGAGGUUUCUGUGACGUCUCCUAGCUUUGUUAUCAUGUGGCUUAUCAAUUUGAAAUGUACUUUUAUCUCAUGUGGUUUAUGUAGAAGUUAACUGGGAGAAACACAAACCAACAGUCCAAUUAUCUGGACAGAAGAGAUCUGCAAAGUAUUGUUGUUGUCAUUUUAAAUAAGAGCUAUCCUCUCAAAAACAAUCAGAAAUAAGGUACAAUAUCAUUUGUAUAUGAUUCAUUUAUACCUAAAAAAACCCAAGGAAUCAAGUGAAAAUGGUGAUACAGUCAUUCAUACAACUAACAAAACAUAAGUAUCUAU
RNAcentral lists this long non-coding RNA (2245 nucleotides) under Sus scrofa (pig). RNAcentral's name for it is "lncRNA (ENSSSCG00040063807.1, ENSSSCG00050001458.1)". The record is from RNAcentral. Lineage: Eukaryota; Metazoa; Chordata; Mammalia; Artiodactyla; Suidae.